UCAAUUAUUAAUAUAAUAAAGUAUCAACGUGAUUUAUAAAUGUAUUCAUUAAAUCAUGCCUUCACUUUGUAAAAAAAUACAAACGUGAGAUAAUUAUCUACCGUAGUUUCAUAAUUGUUGAAUAAAAAUAGCAUAGCCUUAAAUUCUGCAAAUGCCCAGAACCAAGUGUCUUCGAUAAUCUACCAACAGAAGUUUUGCCAUCUUAUCGUCCCUCACCUCUGGACAAACUCGGCUUCUGUUUCAAAUGCUGCUGGGUGGUGCCAUUACGUCCUGCCGCUAUCAUCAUAUGCUUUAUAUUGUUGAUGUGGAGUAUUUUGCAAGUAGUGGGUGUGGAAAAGACAACUGCGUCUCUCAUAGCUGACAAAGAUAGCAAUGUGUUUUAUUUUAUUAAGAUAACACUUGUGUGGCUCGCUACUAUGUUUAUAAUGGCGUGUGGAGUCUUACUUGUUGGUAUAAUUCUCUCAAAUCACAAACUUGUCAAUGUCUUCAUGUGGUACACUGUAAUAUAUACCAUGCUACAAUGUGCGUUGUCUCUAACUGCAUUUGGCCUUCAUGUUGUGCGAACUGGAAAGACAUCGGGAAAACUUGUAGUCCGUUUGGUACUUAGCAUUCUAUGGAAUUGUUUGGUGUUUUAUUUCCUGAAAGUUAUUAACAGUUACAAGAUGUUGAUUUGGAUGCCGUGACACAGAACAGACUUGGUGUAAUUAUAUUAUGGAACCUGGCCUUUCUUCUCUCUGGUGUCAGCGAAACCAAUACAAUAACGCAUUUUAUGUUUUAAUGGCAAUUAUAUUUAUGUUUUGCAUAAAAAAUACUCUUC
Molecule: long non-coding RNA, 817 nt
Organism: Pieris napi
Lineage: Eukaryota; Metazoa; Arthropoda; Insecta; Lepidoptera; Pieridae
Exons: 5
Source: RefSeq, a predicted model, not a curated record